GGCGGGGUGCCGGAGCGGUCGAACGGGGCGGUCUUGAAAACCGUUGGGCGUGCAAGCGUCCCGUGGGUUCGAAUCCCACCCCCGCCG
Molecule: transfer RNA, 87 nt
Filed under: Gaiellaceae bacterium
Lineage: Bacteria; Bacillati; Actinomycetota; Thermoleophilia; Gaiellales; Gaiellaceae
Also listed under: 1 other name
Description: tRNA-Ser
Rfam family: tRNA
About the family: Transfer RNA (tRNA) molecules are approximately 80 nucleotides in length. Their secondary structure includes four short double-helical elements and three loops (D, anti-codon, and T loops).
Source: RNAcentral